AGUGAACGCUGGCGGUAGGCCUAACACAUGCAAGUCGAACGGCAGCACAGUAAGAGCUUGCUCUUACGGGUGGCGAGUGGCGGACGGGUGAGGAAUACAUCGGAAUCUACUUUUUCGUGGGGGAUAACGUAGGGAAACCUACGCUAAUACCGCAUACGACCUACGGGUGAAAGCAGGGGAUCUUCGGACCUGGCGCGAAUGAAUGAGCCGAUGUCGGAUUAGCUAGUUGGCGGGGUAAAGGCCCACCAAGGCGACGAUCGGUAGCUGGUCUGAGAGGAUGAUCAGCCACACUGGAACUGAGACACGGACCAUACUCCUACGGGAGGCCGCAGUGGGGAAUAUUGGACAAUGGGCGCAAGCCUGAUCCAGCCAUACCGCGUGGGUGACGAAGGCCUUCGGGUUGUAAAGCCCUUUUUUUGGGAAAGAAAAGCAGCAGGUUGAUACCCCGCUGUUCUGACGGUACCCAAAGAAUAAGCACCGGCUAACUUCGUG
RNAcentral lists this ribosomal RNA (492 nucleotides) under uncultured bacterium. RNAcentral describes it as "partial 16S ribosomal RNA". It matches the Rfam family "Bacterial small subunit ribosomal RNA", at positions 29 to 507 of the family's 1533-position model. The record is from RNAcentral.